Molecule: ribosomal RNA, 253 nt
Filed under: uncultured bacterium
Lineage: Bacteria
Description: partial 16S ribosomal RNA
Rfam family: Bacterial small subunit ribosomal RNA
Source: RNAcentral
UACGUAGGGUGCAAGCGUUGUCCGGAAUUAUUGGGCGUAAAGAGCUCGUAGGCGGUCUGUCGCGUCGGCUGUGAAAUCCCGGAGCUCAACUCCGGGCCUGCAGUCGAUACGGGCAGACUGGAGUUCGGCAGGGGAGACUGGAAUUCCUGGUGUAGCGGUGAAAUGCGCAGAUAUCAGGAGGAACACCGGUGGCGAAGGCGGGUCUCUGGGCCGAUACUGACGCUGAGGAGCGAAAGCGUGGGGAGCGAACAGG